AUGCUGGGAAUCUUAGGUGGGCCGGUCCUCCGCUGGGCUUCUCGGGCCUUUGCGGCGUGCGAGGGGGAGGAUUGGGGGGCCCCCGCUCUGGCAGCUGAGGCUUUCCCUAACUCCUGGGGAGCGGGAAGACCUCGGAGGACCCAUUUCGGGCGCCCACCGAGGACGUCUCCCCCCUCGGGGCUGCCACCCCCUGAAGCACCCCAGGGUGGCCCCGCAGAGAGCCCGCAGCCAGAGGAAUGGCCCCCGGGACCCCGAGGCCCCCCUCCCAGACUAAGGAACUCUGAGCGGAAGAUCCAGACUUGUCAUUGUGUUAGUGAAAGCUGGAGGCGGCCCCUCCCCCAGCCUGGAGCCUAUUCUGGAGAGCUGCUCACAGACAACCAGAAUGGUAAGAACCGCAGAGGGGUUUGGGCAGGAGGGUUUGGAACACGUGAUACAGAGUGCAAAGUUCAGCCCGAGGUCAGAGAAGAGAAUGGACUGAGUCGUGCAGAGGAGCCUCUCGUGGGCAGAAACCUGCGAAGGGUCCUGACCAGCCGAGGCUGUGUGGCCUCCUCAGGCCGUCUCUGUGCUCCGCGUUCCCGGACAAUGACACAGACCUGAAGCUGCUGACAUUCUAAUGCACCAACCUCCACCCCUUCCAGCGCUGCGGCCUUUAUUCCACUCUUGACAGACACACUCGGUAGAAUGACUGGUUCCUGAUCACUAAUGUAAAGGCACUGAAAGGACUUUCCUCUCACUGUGACGUCAGACAGAGGGCGGGUCCAUGGAGGCCUUGUAGAGACUUUCGCCCAGACCUGGAGGAAUCCUCAGGCGCAGAGGCUGGGGGGACAGUAGUGAAGGCCGGGAAGAUGCACGGCCAGGAACAAGGAAGUCCCCGGUCGCUGCAUUCAGAGUAGGGAAGGGAAUAAGGGGAGAGGGAAGCUGCUGGGCGGGGGGGGGGGGGGGGGGGGGAAGGGGGGGGGGGACCCCCCCUUCAAGGGGGUGCCCCCCCCCCGGGGGGGUUAAGGGCCCAAGAAGAGUCUUAGGUGAGGAGGGGUUCCU
RNAcentral lists this long non-coding RNA (1038 nucleotides) under Monodelphis domestica (gray short-tailed opossum). RNAcentral's name for it is "lncRNA (ENSMODG00000045448.1)". The record is from RNAcentral. Lineage: Eukaryota; Metazoa; Chordata; Mammalia; Didelphimorphia; Didelphidae.